CGUAGGUGGCAAGCGUUGUCCGGAAUUAUUGGGCGUAAAGCGCGCGCAGGCGGUUCCUUAAGUCUGAUGUGAAAGCCCCCGGCUCAACCGGGGAAGGUCAUUGGAAACUGGGGAACUUGAGUGCAGAAGAGAAGAGCGGAAUUCCACGUGUAGCGGUGAAAUGCGUAGAGAUGUGGAGGAACACCAGUGGCGAAGGCGGCUCUUUGGUCUGUAACUGACGCUGAGGCGCGAAAGCGUGGGGAGCAAACAGGAUUAGAUACCCUGGUAGUCCACGCUGUAAACGAUGAGUGCUAAGUGUUAGAGGGUUUCCGCCCUUUAGUGCUGCAGCUAACGCAUUAAGCACUCCGCCUGGGGAGUACGGCCGCAAGGCUG
This 372-nucleotide ribosomal RNA is filed under the name uncultured organism. RNAcentral describes it as "bacterial SSU rRNA". It matches the Rfam family "Bacterial small subunit ribosomal RNA", at positions 526 to 896 of the family's 1533-position model. The record is from RNAcentral.